RNAcentral lists this transfer RNA (69 nucleotides) under Condylura cristata (star-nosed mole). Its description in RNAcentral is "tRNA-Gly". It matches the Rfam family "tRNA". Rfam says of the family: Transfer RNA (tRNA) molecules are approximately 80 nucleotides in length. Lineage: Eukaryota; Metazoa; Chordata; Mammalia; Eulipotyphla; Talpidae. The record is from RNAcentral.
AUUCCCCUAGUAUUAAUAGUACAGCUGACUUCCAAUCAGCUAGUCUCGGUAAAACCCCGAGGAGGAAUA